Miniopterus natalensis is the source of this 712-nucleotide non-coding RNA. NCBI's taxonomy places the organism in Eukaryota, Metazoa, Chordata, Mammalia, Chiroptera, Miniopteridae. The record is from RefSeq and is a predicted model, not a curated record.
GGGUGGGCCUUGUUUCUGAGGAAAUAAAGAGGCCACAGAACCUCCCAAGUGAGUGAAUGGUUUCCAGAUAGUCAAGUGGAGCAGCCUCUGGCUACAUGAGCUGGAUGUGCUUGGCGGUAUUUCCAUGAGGCUGGCCGGUAUCCUGAUGUUAGCAAAGCAGAAGGCAAAUCUUUGGGGAGCUAAAGGACGUGUGCACGUGCCAGUACUUUUGACAAAUGUUCAGUUAAUUGUUUUCUAUGAUUCUUCUCUUGAGACACCAACUUUGAACCAAGAAAUGCCUCCUCCCACCAUCCCAGACCCCAGGGGAAACCUGAGAAUUACACACUUUUGGGCCAAGCUUCCGCCCCGCAGGAAAUGGAAGAUCAGCCCCCGGGGAUGAAAGAAUGAUGGAGGGCCUGGGAAAGCAGAGAAAUCUCGUGGGUGACAAAGAAGACAAACUCACACAAAUAAAGUCUGUUUUUGUAUGCCAAUAUGAUGAACUCAGAUUUUCUCAUAAGGAUACCAGCAAAUGGUCAUCAGAAGAGGCCCCGGACAGACGCAAUUCACCAAAGUCUCUACCACAGACAUUCUCAGAUGGUGCUAAUAAAAAGAAGAAACCCAAACCAGAAUUGGUGGUCCACAUUGUGAGAGUUGCUAAAUAUCAUCACAAAGCAAUAAUUAUCUUUCUGCGUGCUUGGUGGCUCAACAUUCUGAAAUGCAAAUGUCAAGAGCA